GACGAACGCUGGCGGCGUGCCUAAUACAUGCAAGUAGAACGCUGAAGAGAGGAGCUUACUCUUCUUGGAUGAGUUGCGAACGGGUGAGUAACGCGUAGGUAACCUGCCUUGUAGCGGGGGAUAACUAUUGGAAACGAUAGCUAAUACCGCAUAACAAUGGAUGACACAUGUCAUUUAUUUGAAAGGGGCAAUUGCUCCACUACAAGAUGGACCUGCGUUGUAUUAGCUAGUAGGUGAGGUAAUGGCUCACCUAGGCGACGAUACAUAGCCGACCUGAGAGGGUGAUCGGCCACACUGGGACUGAGACACGGCCAGACUCCUACGGGAGGCAGCAGUAGGGAAUCUUCGGCAAUGGGGGCAACCCUGACCGAGCAACGCCGCGUGAGUGAAGAAGGUUUUCGGAUCGUAAAGCUCUGUUGUAAGUCAAGAACGGGCGUGAGAGUGGAAAGUUCACACUGUGACGGUAGCUUACCAGAAAGGGACGGCUAACUACGUG
Molecule: ribosomal RNA, 496 nt
Filed under: uncultured bacterium
Lineage: Bacteria
Description: partial 16S ribosomal RNA
Rfam family: Bacterial small subunit ribosomal RNA
Source: RNAcentral